GCCUUGGUAGCUCAGUUGGUUAGAGUGCCAGUCUCAUAAUCUGGAGGUCGUGGGUUCGAUCCCCCCCCGAGGCA
Non-coding RNA from Microbotryomycetes sp. JL201, 74 nucleotides. NCBI's taxonomy places the organism in Eukaryota, Fungi, Basidiomycota, Microbotryomycetes. The record is from the annotation of a GenBank genome assembly.